AGCUGAGUGUUGGUGACAGAUUGGGAGAGAAGAAAUAAACCCACAGCACUGUGCUUUAAAGCAACCCCAUGGAAAAAAAAAACAGGGAUCUACCAAUACCACUGAAGUCCCUUCUGUAAACCAUGCAACCAGCUGUUGUCCCAGUUCAUGAUUUCUCUGUCCCAACAGCAAACAGCCUAAGGAGGAGCUGUUUAUAGGUUGUGCCUGCUAAAUGUUGGAGAUCAGGAAGUGCACACCCAUCCUUUUUGCCUUUCAUGCUGAGGACAGGUACAACAGAGUCAUGAUCUCCUUCUGGCAACUGGAUGAGAAGGCAGUGCCACUGCAAAGGAAGGAUUACUGAGGCACUGUUCGAGUUGUAUUCAAAGGGAACACGAGUGCUGUGCAUUACACACAUCCCCAUCACCACAGAACUGUGUUUGGGGAAAUGGAGAACCGAACGGAUCCUUCUUUACUUCCACUCAUUUUCAGGGUGGCUCUUCCCAAAGAGAGAUAAGCAGUCAGAGUACGUUCCUUGAAGAGUUGGGCCUAGCAAUAUGGCAGCGCACAUUCGGUAAGAAACCUCGUGAACUGCUGCUACUGAGGUAAU
Molecule: long non-coding RNA, 586 nt
Organism: Colius striatus (speckled mousebird)
Lineage: Eukaryota; Metazoa; Chordata; Aves; Coliiformes; Coliidae
Exons: 7
Source: RefSeq, a predicted model, not a curated record